RNAcentral lists this ribosomal RNA (450 nucleotides) under uncultured Methanomicrobiales archaeon. RNAcentral's name for it is "bacterial SSU rRNA". It matches the Rfam family "Archaeal small subunit ribosomal RNA", at positions 889 to 1338 of the family's 1478-position model. The record is from RNAcentral. Lineage: Archaea; Methanobacteriati; Methanobacteriota; Methanomicrobia; Methanomicrobiales.
UGGAGCCUGCGGUUUAAUCGGACUCAACGCCGGGAAACUCACCAGAUAAGACAGCUGAAUGAUAGUCGGGCUGAAGACUCUACUUGACUAGCUGAGAGGAGGUGCAUGGCCGUCGUCAGUUCGUACUGUGAAGCAUCCUGUUAAGUCAGGCAACGAGCGAGACCCACGCCAACAGUUGCCAGCUCGUCCUCCGGGAUGGUGGGGACACUGUUGGGACCGCCUCUGCUAAAGAGGAGGAAGGAAUGGGCAACGGUAGGUCAGCAUGCCCCGAAUUAUCUGGGCUACACGCGGGCUACAAUGGGUGGGACAAUGGGUAUCGACACCGAAAGGUGAAGGCAAUCUCCUAAACCCAUCCGUAGUUCGGAUUGUGGGCUGCAACUCGCCCACAUGAAGCUGGAAUCUGUAGUAAUCGUGUCUCAAAAUGGCACGGUGAAUAUGUCCCUGCUCCUU